Molecule: non-coding RNA, 605 nt
Organism: Xyrichtys novacula (pearly razorfish)
Lineage: Eukaryota; Metazoa; Chordata; Actinopteri; Labriformes; Labridae
Source: the annotation of a GenBank genome assembly
CGGGGCCCUAGUUAUUAUUAUUAUUUUUCCUCCGCUUUAAACUGGAAAAUGGCCCACUUCCCACUGGCGAAAACUCAUGAAAAUUGGCAGGACGACCGGGCCUGGUGAAAAAUUCGAUAUUCUGAAGUCGCCCAAACAAGAAAAUGCAAAAUGGCUCAAUAGCGCCCCCAAAGGUGAAAAUUCACACUAUUGACUGUCACGCCUAUACGCUUUGUCAUAUUGACACAAAAAUUGACACACACAUGUAUCUCAAUAAGAUCUACGAAAAAGUCAAUGCGCGCGUAUCUGUCAAAUGUACGGUUAAAGGGUUAUUCCGCAUUUUUUGCCGUUCCGCACACAUUGGAAUUUCGCUAACUCCUCCGAAGGCUUUCGUUCCACCUGCACUACAUUUGCUCAGGCCAAUCUACACCCCAUGGCCAUUGAAAGUUGUACAAAUCAUGACGCUGCACCCCAUGGUUUACGUUCUAGGGGGCGCCAAAGAUGACCCAAAUAUCCACAUUUUUAAAAGUCUUAUAACUUUUUAUUUUUGUCCUCACUGGCCUCCAAGUUUUCUAGGAUGAUGCAAUGUGCAGCCAUCAACACAUCUGUGAAGGAAUUUUUUCUCC